ACCCGCUGAACUUAAGCAUAUCAAUAAGCGGAGGAAAAGAAACCAACAGGGAUUGCCCUAGUAACGGCGAGUGAAGCGGCAACAGCUCAAAUUUGAAAUCUGGCGCAAGCCCGAGUUGUAAUUUGUAGAGGAUGCUUCUGGGCAGCGGCCGGUCUAAGUUCCUUGGAACAGGACGUCACAGAGGGUGAGAAUCCCGUAUGUGAUCGGUUGGCACCCGCUACGUAGCUCCUUCGACGAGUCGAGUUGUUUGGGAAUGCAGCUCUAAAUGGGAGGUAAAUGCCUUCUAAAGCUAAAUACCGGCCAGAGACCGAUAGCGCACAAGUAGAGUGAUCGAAAGAUGAAAAGCACUUUGGAAAGAGAGUUAAAAAGCACGUGAAAUUGUUGAAAGGGAAGCGCAUGCAACCAGACUUGUCCGCGGUGUUCCGCCGGUCUUCUGACCGGUCUACUCGCCGCGGGCAGGCCAGCAUCAUCUGGGAGCGCCGGAUAAAGGUAGCGGGAAUGUGGCCCCUCGGGGUGUUAUAGCUCGCUACACAAUACGGCGCCUCCCGGGUGAGGUCCGCGCUUCGGCUAGGAUGCUGGCGUAAUGGUUGUAUGCGGCCCGUCUUGAAACACGGACCAAGGAGUCUACCAUCUAUGCGAGUGUUCGGGUGUCAAACCCCUACGCGCAAUGAAAGUGAACGGAGGUGGGAACCGCAAGGUGCACCAUCGACCGAUCCUGAUGUCUUCGGAUGGAUUUGAGUAAGAGCAUAGCUGGUGGGACCCGAAAGAUGGUGAACUAUGCCUGAAUAGGGUGAAGCCAGAGGAAACUCUGGUGGAGGCUCGCAGCGGUUCUGACGUGCAAAUCGAUCGUCAAAUUUGGGUAUAGGGGCGAAAGACUAAUCGAACCAUCUAGUAGCUGGUUCCUGCCGAAGUUUCCCUCAG
Molecule: ribosomal RNA, 921 nt
Filed under: Neocatenulostroma microsporum
Lineage: Eukaryota; Fungi; Ascomycota; Dothideomycetes; Mycosphaerellales; Teratosphaeriaceae
Description: LSU rRNA
Rfam family: Eukaryotic large subunit ribosomal RNA
Source: RNAcentral